AGAGCAGCACCCAGAUGAUAGAGGAUUUCAGCUGCCCACGGGAAUGAGUUUCCUUGGCUCACGGCAUCCCAAAUUUUGAACCCAAGGCAAUGAAAGGGAGUAGUAGGCAAAAUAGCCAUCUCAUUUAGCCCUCUCACCUCUCCAUCCUGCCCAUCCCCAAGAGAGCUAGUUGGUAUUGAUCUAAAAAUAGACAUUAUUCUAUCAAUUUGUACAUCUUAUGAGCCCUUAGGGAGAAAACAGACCAAACCCCUUUCUCAUAGGUGAAGAAAUAUUAAAGCCCAUUUAAAAGAAAAUAUUUUGAGUUCCCAUAGCAGUAGAGGUAGAACUAGAACCCAAGUUUUCUGACACCAAUCCCAGGUUAUAAAACGUAGUCCUUUCAAUUAAUCUAUGAAAAGAACAGUUAAGGGCAAUGCAGGACUUAUUUUAAAGUUUUUUUUUUUUAAAAGAAAAAUACGAGAGUAUAGUUGGUUUACAAUGUGUCAAUUUCUGCUGUACAGCAAAUCGACUCAGUCAUACAUAUAUGUUCUAUUUUAAAUCUUGAUCGCAGAAGGAACGUGGAGUUUAGAGCCUAGGGUAAGUUGUUUUUUAAAUGAUCACCAUGAUUCUGUCAAGCCCACUUGCCCCUUUGCAAUGUGACUUUACUACUCCUCGAAUUGAAAAAUGGAUGCUCUUUCUCCCCUUGAACCUUGAAGAGUCCUGUGACUUGUUUUAACCAAGAGUCUGUGACAGAAAUGGUGUUGUGCUACUUCUGAGGAUGGGCUUUAAGAAGCUCUCUUAGACUUAAAAUCUGUUAAGGGUAAGUCUUAGGUGUUCUUUCCAUUAAACAAGCAAACAAGUAAGUAAGUAAAUAAAAACAAAGAGGGCAGGGCAGGAGAAAACUUGGUGACGUGAUGGAUAUGUUUUUGGCCUUGACAGUGGUGAUGGUUUCCUGGGUAUGUAUUUAUCCCCAGACUCAUUGAGUUGUGUACAUUAAAUACGUAGAGCUCUUUUAUGUCAAUCAUAUCUUAAUAAAAUGGUUUUUUAAAAAGUCUUCUUGGGACACUGAGACCAACAUAUAUUGAAGCUGGUCUAGCCAGCUAUAGGAUGAGUGACAGGCUGAGAACCAAGGUGCUCCUGCCUUCAAUCAGCACCAACUGCCAACACGAGAGUGAGGCCACCUUGGACCAACCAGUCUUCCAACUCAGUGCAGCCAAACGAGUGAGUGAGCCCACAUGAAAUCAGCAGAGGAACUGCCUAGUCAACCCAGAGGACCAUGGGAAAUAUUGCAGAAUUAUUUUAAGCGCCGAAGUUUUGGGGGUGUUUGUAACUUAGCAGAGGUUAACUGAAACAGAGCCAGAAAACCUUAGCACGGAAGACAGUCCUGCCUCUUCAGGUGUGUUACCCCAAGGACUGGUUACAUAACAUCUUUGAAGACAUUUUAUGCUUAUGUACUAUAUGAGAUAAUACAUCAAAGGACCUAGGGUGUUGUCUGGCACAUGGUACCCUUAACAGACAUUAGCGUCCUUGCUUUGUCUUUUGUUCCUUCUCUCUGUAUUAUAAUUCACUUCAUGGGCAUCAACAUUCUUGUAGCUUUCCCUAGCUCACUCUUCCUCUGAACAGCAAUUUAUUUUGUCGCUCCUGGUUGAUGGCCUGGUGGUGUCCUUCCUCCUAACUCCCGAAUUUCCAGUAUUCUCGUUCUGCUCCAGGGAACACAUCUGCCUUCGAUAGUCUACCCUUAAAAUAGAAAAGGGUUAACCUCAUAAAGAUGUCACUCCCCUUGUACUGCUAUGCUGCCCUUGGGAGGGUCAAACAGCUAGCAAAUAUAUAUGGGCAAUGUAAUUGCCUUUGAUCUCCUAGGUCACAGAAGACUCUCCUAGCCAGUGUGGCAUCCAGGUGGGACAUAAGCAGAUUCUGUCUUGAAGAGCAGAGUUUCUCCGUCUGUUGAUCGCUAUUUUUGUUUUUGCUAGCAAAUGACUCUAAGGGCCUCAUUUUUUCCCAUCUUAGGCUUUGCAACAAAUAAUAAGCAAAGACAGUGAUAUAAUGAUAACUAUAUUAUACUUCUUAUCUUCUUAGUGAUAAUGGAAAGUAGUGGCUGCAGAAUUAGGUGUUGAAGGUCCCAGUGCUCCCACUGCUACCAGCUAGUAGCAAUUUAGUCAAGUCCUUUUACUUCCCUGGUAGUUACUUUCCGUCUUGGAAGGAGAGUGAGGGAGGGGCGCUUGGUCUGUGGUUGGCUCACCUCUGAAGUCCCGUUUGCACUAAUACACUUGGAGUAAGUUCCCUGAUAUGUUACUUUUGUUUUUCAACCUUCAAUAUAUAUUCAAUAUUCAAUAUAUAUUGAAGGUUGAAAAUAUAAUAUUCAAUAUAUAUUGAAGGUUGAAAAUAUAUCUGUUAGGAAGAGUAGAAAGAAGGAGAGAUGACAAGGGUGAGAAUGUUUUAUUUUGUUUUUUUUUGAAGGAAGCACUAGUAAGAGGGUCUGAAGUAAUCUCAGGAAAAGGGCUGUGGCAGAGGGCAAAUGCACAGCCUUAUUAACUGCUUAGCAUCCUUCCUAGAGGUAAUGAACAAAAUCUCUCCAUAUCUGACCCUUUUGGAUGGGGUUUAAGGGUUCCAGUAUGAGAAACACUGUUGUAGAGUUUGAUUUAUUGUGUUUACUUUGGGGGGGAAGCACUGAUUUUUUUUUUCCCCCUAGGUCCUCCCAACUACAUUUGGCAGCAUAUCUGUGGGUAAAGAAGUUUUCCAAUCUAAUCCCCCUGUGAAAUAAUUACAUGAAAUAUAAAAUGUAAAACGAAAAGGAAAAUAUUCUCACAGAGCCUUCCUUCCUCUGGAAUUGACUGGUGUUUUAGCUAUAUCCAUCGUGCUCUCCAUCUGUUUGUCUCUCGUUUGUAUGUAUAUAAAACAAUUGAAACAUGCAAAUGAAGGGAUGGGAUUUUAUAUUGUCACCACUUCAUUUUUUAAACAUGUUUCUGCUUUAAAGGGGAACUGCAAAAGAGAGUCACUGAGAAAUUGGCCUGGAGGAGGAGUAUUCAACCCACAGCCUCUCCUCUGCCCCUUAUCACUAAAACUCUAAACAGAGAGUAUAAUCACCUAUUUCCCAAGGGCAGCCCUAAGCCCUUAAAACUCAGAUCUGUUUAAGGAUUUACUAGAACUGGAAAAGAGAAAUGCACAGGAUCUGCUCCAAACCAACAAAGGAAAAUUUACCCGACCAAAUAUUCAAUCUAGAGAAUUUCUUUGAUAGCACACUCUCCUCCCUCCCUAUCUCUUGAUUUUGUUAGGACACAGCUCUUCAAAUUGCAUCUUCACGACUCCUAGAAUCUUGGGAGUCUGUGGAUCUGAGGCUCCAGGCCAGCCCAGGGCAUUUUCUUUCACAAAACAAGAUAUAACUAGCAGGAAGCCCAAAAGGGCAUUUGGUGGUAGUUGUCGUUUAUUUUGUUUCAAAGGGUAGACACACUCAGCUUCAUUGUCUCUUUUCUUCUGAGAUUUUUUUUUUUUUUUUAGGUGGAAAUGCUUGAUGUUAUGCUAUGAACCAUGGCUUUUCUUUUUAAAAACACUAUGAUAAAGGAAGUCUAGUUGCAUUUCUUUUCCAAUAGAUUGGGUUUUACUUUUGCUUAGAAAAUUACAUGCACACCCAUGCACACAAUUUACCAUGGUUAUUUUUUAGUAUAUAUAGUGUACUAUUAUUAGUAUAUAGAGAUACAAAUUGAUUAUAUGGGUGAUUUACAGAGAAAAUAGAAGUAAGGUGAUACAUUAAAGAGGAUGAUGGGGAAGACAGUUUUUAAGGAGAUUGCUCAGGAAGACAGGAGUCUGCUAAACUGCAGAGAGUAGGAAAGAGAAUGUUGUAUCCCACUGGUCAGUGUGGAGGGACAGGAGACCUCUAUUCUGGUCCACGCUUCACCGGUAACUAAAAGGGUGGCCUUGGGGCCAGUCAGUCCUCCUUUGCUUUUUGGAGUUCCCAUCAGCAACCCUAAAGGUUUGGAUUGCUCAGCAUUUUGCUUGGCUGGAUUAUGCUUGACACCCAGUAUUUGGCUCUGGUAUCAUCUCCUUGGAGACCCCUCCCUGGCUCCCCUAACUCUUGUUGACACACGUGCUUGAUGUCCCUCUCUCCUCUUUCCCUGUCACCUUAUCCCUUGGUAGAGGUUUUAUUGUCUUCAUAACUUCCAUCACCGUCUGCGUUUAUGUUGAUUCCUCAUUCAUUUGUGCCUUUCCUAUGUUUCCCCACUGGAACAUAAGCCCCAUGAGACCAGAGACCUUGUCAGUCUUGUUCACCACGCGCAUCCCCAGCCCCUAGCAGUUCCUGGAACAUUUUGGACCCACAAUGAAUAUUCGUUGAGUGAAUGACUAGAUCAGUGGCUUUUAAACUAGAGAUGUCUCACAAGUUUUUCAGGGAUGGAUGUAAGAAAGAGAGACGGAGAUACAUGUGGUGGGCCUCCAAGUUCCCCACCUCCUGUUUAAUUAUGUGUAUGUUAUGUAUAUGUGUUAUAUCUGUGUCGAUAUAUAUCAAGAGGUCUUUUUUGGCUGUAUGUGAGGCGUACAGAAGUUGCCAGGUCAGGAAUCAAACCCACAUCACAGCAGCAACUGGAGCCACGGCAGUGGCAAUGCCGGAUGCUGAACCUACUGACCCACACGGGAACUCACUAUAUAUCACUAAGUUUCUAAUGACACUAAAAUAUAUAACGUUAUAUAUAAAAACAGUAGUUUUUAAUCACACUAAGGCAUAUAUGUAUGUAUUGUGGAUAUCUAUAGAUAUGGAUAUGGGAUAUGGAUAUGCCUUAGUGUGAUUAAAAACAUGACUCCAUGUGCUACAACCAUUUGAAACAUACAGGGGCAUGAUGACCUUUUAAGAUUGUUCCCAGAUUGGAAUUUCUGUCGUGGCUUAGCGAAAACAAUCUGACUAGCAUCCAUGAGGAUGCAGGUGCGAUUCGUGGCCCCGCUCAGUGGGUUAAGGAUCUGGCAUUGCCAUGAGCUGUGGUGUAGGUCGCAGAUGCAGCUUGGGUCUGGCGUUGCUGUGACUGUGGUGUAGGCCGGCAGCUACAGCUCCGAUUUGACCCCUAGCUUGGGAACUUCCAUAUGC
Molecule: long non-coding RNA, 5044 nt
Filed under: Sus scrofa (pig)
Lineage: Eukaryota; Metazoa; Chordata; Mammalia; Artiodactyla; Suidae
Description: lncRNA (ENSSSCG00045009037.1)
Source: RNAcentral